CCUACGGGAGGCAGCAGUGAGGAAUAUUGGUCAAUGGACGCAACUCUGAACCAGCCAAGUAGCGUGCAGGAUGACUGCCCUAUGGGUUGUAAACUUCUUUUAUGCGGGGAUAAACUGAGUCACGUGUGGCUUUUUGCAUGUACCUCAUGAAUAAGGACCGGCUAAUUCCGUGCCAGCAGCCGCGGUAAUACGGAAGGUCCGGGCGUUAUCCGGAUUUAUUGGGUUUAAAGGGAGCGCAGAGCGGCCGUUAAGUCAGUUGUGAAAGGCCGCGGCUCAACCGUGACAUUGCAAGGGAAACUGGGAGGCUUGAGUGCAGUGGAGGUAGGCGGAAUUCGUGGGGUAGCGGUGAAAUGCUUAGAUAUCACGAAGAACUCCGAUUGCGAAGGCAGCGUACUAUAGCGUUACUGACACUGAGGCUCGAAGGUGCGGGUAUCGAACAGGAUUAGAUACCCGUGUAGUC
Molecule: ribosomal RNA, 460 nt
Filed under: uncultured bacterium
Lineage: Bacteria
Description: partial 16S ribosomal RNA
Rfam family: Bacterial small subunit ribosomal RNA
Source: RNAcentral